This 899-nucleotide ribosomal RNA is filed under the name uncultured delta proteobacterium. Its description in RNAcentral is "bacterial SSU rRNA". It matches the Rfam family "Bacterial small subunit ribosomal RNA", at positions 34 to 916 of the family's 1533-position model. Lineage: Bacteria; Deltaproteobacteria. The record is from RNAcentral.
CGCUUUGCGGCUGCUAAACAUGCAGUCGACGUGAAAGGGGCAACCCUGAGUAAAGUGGCGUACGGGUGAGUAAUGCAUAGGUAAUCUACCUCAGAGUUUGGAAUAACCUGCCGAAAGGCGGGCUAAUACUGGAUAGAGCGACGGGAUCCAUAAUAGGAUCUUUCGGGAAAGGGAGUCCGCAAGGACCUUCGCUCUGGGAUGAGCCUAUGUCUCAUUAGCUAGUUGGUGGGGUAAUGGCCCACCAAGGCUUUGAUGGGUAGCUGGUCUGAGAGGAUGAUCAGCCACACUGGAACUGAAACACGGUCCAGACUCCUACGGGAGGCAGCAGUGGGGAAUCUUGCGCAAUGGACGAAAGUCUGACGCAGCCACGCCGCGUGAGUGAAGAAGGCCUUCGGGUUGUAAAGCUCUGUCGAGCGGGACGAACAUCUAUUGGGUUAACAGCCUAGUAGACUGACGGUACCGCUAAAGGAAGCACCGGCUAACUUCGUGCCAGCAGCCGCGGUAAUACGAGGGGUGCAAGCGUUGCUCGGAAUUAUUGGGCGUAAAGGGUAGGUAGGUGGUCUCAUUUGUCUGGGGUGAAAGCCUUGGGCUUAACUCAAGAAGUGCCCCAGAAACGGUGAGACUAGAGUCCUGGAGAGGGUCGUGGAAUUCCCGGUGUAGCGGUGAAAUGCGUAGAGAUCGGGAGGAACACCAGAGGCGAAGGCGGCGACCUGGACAGGUACUGACACUCAACUACGAAAGCGUGGGGAGCAAACAGGAUUAGAUACCCUGGUAGUCCACGCUGUAAACGAUGGGUACUAGGUUUGGUGGGUCUUGACCCCCGCCGAACCGGCGCUAACGCACUAAGUACCCCGCCUGGGAAGUACGGUCGCAAGACUAAAACUCAAAGGAAUUGACGG